UACGUAGGGGGCAAGCGUUGUCCGGAUUUAUUGGGCGUAAAGAGCGUGUAGGCGGUUAGGUAGGUCCGUUGUGAAAACUCGAGGCUCAACCUCGAGACGCCGAUGGAAACCAUCUGACUAGAGUCCGGAAGAGGAGAGUGGAAUUCCUGGUGUAGCGGUGAAAUGCGCAGAUAUCAGGAAGAACACCCGUGGCUAAGGCGGCUCUCUAGUACGGUACUGACGCUGAGACGUGAAAGCGUGGGGAGCGAACAGG
Molecule: ribosomal RNA, 253 nt
Filed under: uncultured bacterium
Lineage: Bacteria
Description: partial 16S ribosomal RNA
Rfam family: Bacterial small subunit ribosomal RNA
Source: RNAcentral